AACGAACGCUGGCGGCGUGCUUAACACAUGCAAGUCGCACGAGAAAGUCCCGCAAGGGAUGAGUAAAGUGGCGCACGGGUGCGUAAUACAUAGGUCAUCUACCUUCCUGAUCAGCACAACCUCGGGAAACCGGGGCUAAUUCUGGAUACGUCCCUAGAAACGUGAAGUUUUUUUGGAGAAAGCAGGCCUCUACUUGUAAGCUUGUACGGGAAGAUGAGUCUAUGGCCCAUCAGUUAGUUGGUAGGGUAACGGCCUACCAAGACGAAUGACGGGUAGCUGGUCUGAGAGGAGGACCAGCCACACUGGAACUGGAACACGGUCCAGACUCCUACGGGAGGCAGCAGUGGGGAAUAUUGGACAAUGGGGGAAACCCUGAUCCAGCAACGCCGCGUGAGUGAAGAAGGCC
This 406-nucleotide ribosomal RNA is filed under the name uncultured bacterium. RNAcentral describes it as "bacterial SSU rRNA". It matches the Rfam family "Bacterial small subunit ribosomal RNA", at positions 29 to 416 of the family's 1533-position model. The record is from RNAcentral.